Potamilus streckersoni is the source of this 79-nucleotide non-coding RNA. The record is from the annotation of a GenBank genome assembly. NCBI's taxonomy places the organism in Eukaryota, Metazoa, Mollusca, Bivalvia, Unionida, Unionidae.
GGUGGCCUAGUGGUUAGAGCAUCCGCCUCAAAUGUGGGAGGUCAUAGGUUUUCAACCCGACCGAGUCAUACCAAAGACU